AUUGAACGCUGGCGGCAUGCUUUACACAUGCAAGUCGAACGGUAACAGGGUGCUUGCACCGCUGACGAGUGGCGAACGGGUGAGUAAUGCGUCGGAACGUGCCGAGUAGUGGGGGAUAACGCAGCGAAAGUUGUGCUAAUACCGCAUACGUACUGAGGUAGAAAGUGGGGGACCUUCGGGCCUCACGCUAUUCGAGCGGCCGACGUCUGAUUAGCUAGUAGGUGAGGUAAAGGCUCACCUAGGCGACGAUCAGUAGCGGGUCUGAGAGGAUGAUGCGCCACACUGGGACUGAGACACGGGCCAGACUCCUACGGGAGGCAGCAGUGGGGAAUUUUGGACAAUGGGCGAAAGCCUGAUCCAGCCAUGCCGCGUGUCUGAAGAAGGCCUUCGGGUUGUAAAGGACUUUUGUCAGGGAGGAAAUCCCUAGUGCUAAUAACACUGGGGGAUGACAGUACCUGAAGAAUAAGCACCGGCUAACUACGUGCCAGCCGCCGCGGUAA
This 500-nucleotide ribosomal RNA is filed under the name uncultured bacterium. RNAcentral's name for it is "partial 16S ribosomal RNA". It matches the Rfam family "Bacterial small subunit ribosomal RNA", at positions 30 to 523 of the family's 1533-position model. The record is from RNAcentral.